RNAcentral lists this ribosomal RNA (253 nucleotides) under uncultured bacterium. Its description in RNAcentral is "partial 16S ribosomal RNA". It matches the Rfam family "Bacterial small subunit ribosomal RNA", at positions 524 to 776 of the family's 1533-position model. The record is from RNAcentral.
UACGUAGGUGACAAGCGUUAUCCGGAUUUAUUGGGCGUAAAGGGCUCGUAGGCGGCCAACUAAGUCAUACGUGAAAUCCCUCGGCUUAACCGGGGAACUGCGUCUGAUACUGGAUGGCUUGAGUUCGGGAGAGGGAUGCGGAAUUCCAGGUGUAGCGGUGAAAUGCGUAGAUAUCUGGAGGAAUACCGGUGGCGAAGGCGGCAUCCUGGACCGAGAUUGACACUGAGGAGCGAAAGCCAGGGGAGCAAACGGG